GUAGGGAAUAUUGGGCAAUGGAUGCAAGUCUGACCCAGCCAUGCCGCGUGCAGGAAGAAGGUCCUCUGGAUUGUAAACUGCUUUUUUGGGGGAAGAAUAGUUUUCUUGCGAGGAAAUGUGACGGUACCCUAAGAAUAAGCCACGGCUAACUACGUGCCAGCAGCCGCGGUAAUACGUAGGUGGCAAGCGUUGUCCGGAUUUAUUGGGUUUAAAGGGUGCGUAGGUGGUUUGAUAAGUCAGUGGUGAAAGCUGGUUGCUCAACAAUCAAGUUGCCAUUGAUACUGUCGGACUUGAGAGAAGUGGAGGUUCAUGGAAUGGAUGGUGUAGCGGUGAAAUGCAUAGAUAUCAUCCAGAACGUCGAUUGCGAAGGCAGUGGGCUGUACUUUAUCUGACACUGAGGCACGAAAGUGUGGGGAUCAAACAGGAUUAGAAACCCCGGUAGUCC
RNAcentral lists this ribosomal RNA (445 nucleotides) under uncultured bacterium. RNAcentral's name for it is "partial 16S ribosomal RNA". It matches the Rfam family "Bacterial small subunit ribosomal RNA", at positions 354 to 796 of the family's 1533-position model. The record is from RNAcentral.